RNAcentral lists this transfer RNA (81 nucleotides) under Nematocida ausubeli. RNAcentral describes it as "tRNA-Ser (CGA) (tRNA-Ser-CGA-1-1)". It matches the Rfam family "tRNA". From Rfam's summary of the family: Transfer RNA (tRNA) molecules are approximately 80 nucleotides in length. Their secondary structure includes four short double-helical elements and three loops (D, anti-codon, and T loops). Further hydrogen bonds mediate the characteristic L-shaped molecular structure. tRNAs have two regions of fundamental functional importance: the anti-codon, which is responsible for specific mRNA codon recognition, and the 3' end, to which the tRNAs corresponding amino acid is attached (by aminoacyl-tRNA synthetases). tRNAs cope with the degeneracy of the genetic code in two manners: having more than one tRNA (with a specific anti-codon) for a particular amino acid; and 'wobble' base-pairing, i.e. permitting non-standard base-pairing at the 3rd anti-codon position. Lineage: Eukaryota; Fungi; Microsporidia. The record is from Rfam by way of RNAcentral.
GUCGAUAUGGCCGAGUGGUUAAGGCGGUUGAUUCGAAAUCAACUGGGCGUGCCCGCGCAGGUUCGAAUCCUGCUGUCGACG